UAGUGCACGCCGCCUAGAUACUAAUGGCGGCCUCCGGGUGGUCAAGCUCUGUCGUAAGGGAAGAACAUUCAGGAUAGGAAAUGAUCUUGAACUGACGGUACCUUACCAGAAAGCCACGGCUAACUACGUGCCAGCAGCCGCGGUAAUACGUAGGUGGCAAGCGUUAUCCGGAAUUAUUGGGCGUAAAGGGUGCGUAGGCGGUUUAUUAAGUCUAUGGUGAAAGUGCGGGGCUCAACCCCGUAUGGCCAUAGAAACUGGUAGACUUGAGUGCAGGAGAGGGCAAUGGAAUUCCAUGUGUAGCGGUAAAAUGCGUAGAUAUAUGGAGGAACACCAGUGGCGAAGGCGGUUGCCUGGCCUGUAACUGACGCUGAAGCACGAAAGCGUGGGGAGCAAAUAGGAUUAGAUACCCUAGUAGUCCACGCCGUAAACGAUGAAUACUAAGUGUCGGAGAAAUUCAGUGCUGCAGUUAACGCAAUAAGUAUUCCGCCUGGGGAGUAUGCACGCAAGUGUGAAACUCAAA
RNAcentral lists this ribosomal RNA (520 nucleotides) under uncultured prokaryote. RNAcentral's name for it is "bacterial SSU rRNA". It matches the Rfam family "Bacterial small subunit ribosomal RNA", at positions 385 to 905 of the family's 1533-position model. The record is from RNAcentral.